This 509-nucleotide ribosomal RNA is filed under the name uncultured bacterium. RNAcentral describes it as "partial 16S ribosomal RNA". It matches the Rfam family "Bacterial small subunit ribosomal RNA", at positions 28 to 523 of the family's 1533-position model. The record is from RNAcentral.
GACGAACGCUGGCGGCGUGCUUAACACAUGCAAGUGGUGCGACGAACCAGGCUUCGGCCUGGGGCAGAGCCGCGAACGGGUGAGUAACACGUGGGCAACCUGCCCUGUUGAUCGGGACAACCCGGGGAAACCCGGGCUAAUACCGAAUGUGGUGCCGGCUCAUGAGAGCCGUCACAAAAGGAAGCUUCGGCCUCCGCGACAGGAUGGGCCCGCGGCCCAUUAGCUUGUUGGUGGGGUAAUGGCCUACCAAGGCAACGAUGGGUAGCUGGUCUGAGAUGACGAUCAGCCACACGGGGACUGGGACACAGCCCAGACUCCUACGGGAGGCUGCAGUGGGGAAUCUUGCGCAAUGAGCGACAGCUUGACGCAGCAACGCCGCGUGGGGGAAGAAGGCUUUCGGGUCGUAAACCCCUUUCAGUUAGGACGAAGCUUUAUUGGUUAAUAACCAAUUGGAGUGACGGUACUUUCAGAAGAAGCCCCGGCUAACUACGUGCCAGCCGCCGCAGUAA